This 507-nucleotide ribosomal RNA is filed under the name uncultured bacterium. Its description in RNAcentral is "partial 16S ribosomal RNA". It matches the Rfam family "Bacterial small subunit ribosomal RNA", at positions 28 to 507 of the family's 1533-position model. The record is from RNAcentral.
GACGAACGCUGGCGGCGUGCCUAAUACAUGCAAGUCGAACGCAUUUUCUUUCACCGUAGCUUGCUACACCGAAAGAAAAUGAGUGGCGAACGGGUGAGUAACACGUGGGUAACCUGCCCAUCAGCGGGGGAUAACACUUGGAAACAGGUGCUAAUACCGCAUAAUUCCAUUUACCGCAUGGCAGAUGGGUGAAAGGCGCUUUUGCGUCACUGAUGGAUGGACCCGCGGUGCAUUAGCUAGUUGGUGGGGUAACGGCCUACCAAGGCUGCGAUGCAUAGCCGACCUGAGAGGGUGAUCGGCCACACUGGGACUGAGACACGGCCCAGACUCCUACGGGAGGCAGCAGUAGGGAAUCUUCGGCAAUGGACGCAAGUCUGACCGAGCAACGCCGCGUGAGUGAAGAAGGUUUUCGGAUCGUAAAACUCUGUUGUUAGAGAAGAACAAGGAUGAGAGUGGAAAGUUCAUCCCUUGACGGUAUCUAACCAGAAAGCCACGGCUAACUACGUG